AAGUCGUAACAAGGUCUCCGUAGGUGAACCUGCGGAGGGAUCAUUAACACGUUUCUUACAACGUUUCCACACCAACCCGUGAACACUGUAAAUGCUAUAUUCUACCUGAGAGUAGGGGCGAUAUGCCUGCUUGAUAUGUGCUUAGUGAUGGGCGUUAGAGUCAAAUCUAAUGCGAGUGCAUUCGAGCUGUAGAAAGUGCUGCAACUUUCAAGGCUUCUCCUUCUUUCGGGCUAAUUCCUACCAUCUACUCUCCUUCAUUCACUGAGAGUUUAUGGUUUAACAAACCACUUUCACCCCUUUCUAACUACUUGACUGAUCAAUGUUUUGAUUUGUAAUCGAAUCGAAACUAGUUUAAAUCAACAUAUCUAAGCACAACUCUUAGCAACGGAUAUCUUGGUUCUC
Molecule: unclassified non-coding RNA, 402 nt
Filed under: fungal sp.
Lineage: Eukaryota; Fungi
Description: partial internal transcribed spacer region
Rfam family: Eukaryotic small subunit ribosomal RNA (bases 1-46)
Source: RNAcentral